Molecule: non-coding RNA, 346 nt
Organism: Eubacterium uniforme
Lineage: Bacteria; Bacillati; Bacillota; Clostridia; Eubacteriales; Eubacteriaceae
Source: Rfam
UGAGUGGAGCAAAUGAUCGCGUGUACUAUUGCCGAAAGGACGUGCACGAGGAAAGUCCGGGCUUCGCAGGGCAGGAUGCCGGAUAACGUCCGGUGGAGGUGACUCUAAGGAAAGUGCAACAGAAAUUAAACCGCCUUUUAAAGGUAAGGGUGAAAUGGCAGUGUAAGAGACUACCGCUUUGGUGGUAACAUCAAGGGUCAGUGUAAACCCCAUCUGAAGCAAGACUGAAUAGAAAGUUGGUUGCCCGCCUAUAUCUUUCGGGUAGGUCGCUUGACUUUAUUGGUAACAAUAAAGCUAGAUAGAUGAUCAUUCUAGACAUAACCCGGCUUAUCGCUCCACUCAUUAU